RNAcentral lists this long non-coding RNA (2449 nucleotides) under Populus tremula. Its description in RNAcentral is "long non-coding RNA (PTRE_LNC000926)". Lineage: Eukaryota; Viridiplantae; Streptophyta; Magnoliopsida; Malpighiales; Salicaceae. The record is from RNAcentral.
CCAGCAAAGAAAGGUUUCGAGCUAUGAGUUCUCCACAAAGGUUUUGAGGGACUUUAGCAGUGUGGUCUUCAGGAAGAAUGUGGCAAAACUUGCUAAUAUAGUGUCUGAAGCUGCAAAAGCUAACCAGUCAAUGGACAUACAGGUUGGUCUUUCAUCCAAUGUCACAGAGUAAACAUCAUGAAUUGAUUUUCAAAGCACGUGACCUCCUAAGCAGGACGGGUACAAGAUAAUUUUAAUUGUGGGAAAAUAAUAUAAGUAUAUAACUAAAUUAAUUAAGAUCUAAAAAAACUAAAAGUUAUAAGUGUUUAAUAUAAAGUUAAGAAAUUUACAUAUAUUAUAAAAAGUUACUCUUAAAAAUUCUAUACUUUUUUUUUAUAAUUCACAAUUAUUCCAUACGAGACUUCACAAUUAUUCCAUGUCAUACUUCAUAGGUUAAAAACAUUGUACAAUUUUCUUAUUAUCAAUAUUUUUAAAUAUCUUUUUUCAAUAUAAAUAACCAUAUAAUUAUUUAACAAACAUCCCCAUAAAUAACUAUAAACUAUUUAUUUCAACCAACAAAAACAACCAUAAAUUAUUUAUUUUAUCAAUUUCUUAUAUUUAUUUUUUCAAGUUACAUUGAAAAUUCAACUACAACUAAACAAUAUAAUUAAAUGCAUUUCAAUUCUUGUCAACACAACAACACAUAUUAAAUACAUAUAACUAACAAACAAUUACUUUGGUUCCAAAAGUUCUUAUCCCGACCAUACUUUCACUAUUAACACCUAAUUUUUCUUUUUUAAUUAUGUUUUAUUUAAAAUCAUUUACAUCCUAUUAUCCCAAGAACAACACAUUUUUAUAAUUUUACUUUCCUUAAAUUAAUAUUUAAGAAUUCUAAUUCAAAAUUUAAGAAUUUUACGUAAACUUUGUUAAUCUUUACUUAAACUUGUACAAUCAAAUUUAUAAUAUCUUUUUCAAUAAUGAUAUGAACUUCAAAUGUUAACCAUUUGAAGUUUUUUAUUGUUUUUUUCUUUUAAUAUCAUGAGUGUUCUCUUUGCUCCUUUUCUCUCAUUUGAUUUUCUUUUUAAUUCCUGAGUUAGGUGUAUUCAAAACUCACUAUCUUAUCUAUCUUGCCUUAAAUCAUGGUUUCUCUUUAGGGUUUUAGUGAAGAAGCUAUCAUUUUUUUUUCUCUAAUGUUUUUCAGCAUUGGCUGGCAGCUUCAAGGAGAAGAAGAAGCUGAAUUUCCUAUUUUUUCAGCUUAUUUAUGAACAUACCAUUAAUGAGCCUAUAUGUUAUUUUUGAUCCGAUUAUUAAUAUUCUUGCAUGGCCUUUUAAAAUUUAUAUUAACCUAAAAUUUUAGUCCAAGAUAGAGGAAUGUUUCAAGAGGUUCCUCGUAAACUUUCAGCCCAAUCUAACGAAUGAAUUGAAAGUUAUGCUUGAUAUUAUAAAAUUAAUUAGUAAGUGAUUUUACAUCAAAAUCCAAUUUUUCCUCAAUUAUUGCUAGAACCAUAUCAAUUGUUUUAAUAAGUUCUCAGAGCCAUUUUUUUAUUUUAAAACAUAUUUAUUUUUUCUUUUCAUCAUUUAUUUCAUUUACAUACUUGCUACAGUUUCACGGUAAUGUUACUGAUUUUUAACCGAGACUUACACCAACACUUUUUCGCAUAGUUCUUUCUUAACUUUUAUUUUUCAUUUCCGUUUUAAUUCCUUGAAAUUAUUUUCUAAUCAUCAAAACACAUCCAUUCAAUUUUUUUUUUUAAUUCUUCUAUCCAUCAAAACCAUUACCGGUUUUAGCAUGAUAUAUAUUUCAUUUGAAUUAUUUUUUGGCAGCGUGGGCCAGUGCCCAAAUUGCCCACAUUCUGGAUCCGUCCAUGCUUCUAAGCUUAACUAGUUGUGCAGGACCUGUUUAUGAAAUCAACCCUAGAUUCGAUAUUCAAAGUUGCAUUCGGGGUUGAGCUAGACAGCAUGUGUGGAUCAAAUGAAGAAGGUGUCAAAUUUACCAGUGCUUUUGAUGAUGCAAGUGCAUUGACCCUUUGGCGAUAUGUUGACGUGUUCUGGAAAAUCAAGAGGUUUUUGAAUAUUGGAUCGGAAGCUGCAUUGAAGAAAAACGUCAAAGUGGUUAAUGAUUUUGUGUAUAAACUAAUCAAUAAAAAAAUUGAGCUAAUGCGUAACUCAGAAGAAGUUUCUUCUGUGAGUAUCUCUCCUUGAAACUAUUAUUUCUGAUAGAUUGCAGAGGCAUGAAUUUUAGCUGAUCUUACAUGGAAAAUGCAGUUAAAGAAAGAUGACAUUUUAUCAAGGUUCCUGCAAGUGACGGAGAAUGAUCCAACAUACUUACGGGACAUAAUUCUCAAUUUUGUGAUUGCUGGAAAAGACACAACAGCAGCUGCUCUAUCAUGGUUCAUCUACAUGUUGUGCAAGCAUCCAGCUGUGCAGACAAAGGUUGCACAAGAAGUAAGAGAAGCAACUAAAGUGAAAG